UACAGAGGAGCCAAGCGUUGUCCGGAUUGACUGGGCGUAAAGCGCACGCAGGCGGAUGCGCGCGUGGGGUGUGAAAUCUGGCCGCUUAACGGCCAGGCGCCAUCCCAUACGGCGCGACUGGAGCGAUGCAGAGGUCGGUGGAAUUGCCGGUGUAGUGGUGAAAUGCGUAGAUAUCGGUAGGAACACCAGUGGCGAAGGCGGUCUCCUGGGGCAUUCUUGACGCUGAGGCGCGAAAGCUGGGGGAGCAAACGGG
Molecule: ribosomal RNA, 253 nt
Filed under: uncultured bacterium
Lineage: Bacteria
Description: partial 16S ribosomal RNA
Rfam family: Bacterial small subunit ribosomal RNA
Source: RNAcentral